Molecule: long non-coding RNA, 793 nt
Filed under: Gossypium raimondii (Peruvian cotton)
Lineage: Eukaryota; Viridiplantae; Streptophyta; Magnoliopsida; Malvales; Malvaceae
Description: long non-coding RNA (GRAI_LNC000832)
Source: RNAcentral
CAAAGCUCAGUUGCUGUUAACAACAAUGCAUCAUGCAUCAGAUGAUGCAGAUGAGGGUAGGAGAAAGGGAUUUUUUUCUUUCAACCUUGUCAUGCAAUUUUUUUCUUUCAUCUCUAAUUUAUUUCUCUUUGUUGGUUUUAAGUAGAUAGGUUAACUCUCCAUCUUUCUCUCUCAAUUUCCCCCAUUUUUCUCACUGCUUUAUUAGUGAUGUUUUUUUUUGUUCUUUGGCAGAAAAUGAGUUGCCACAGCCUAGCAGCAUGGGAAACAAAGCCCUUACUGUCAAAGGGUAAGUUUAGUUCUAUGGAUAAUGAUGAGAUUGAGAGUUCACAGAACCUGUCUAAACAACCCAAUCUUGUUUCAUAUCUAAAAACCAAGCUCAAUGCUCAAAUUCAAGUCUUAUUCAGCCAAAGAUCCUAGCUUUCAAGCUAAAAACGAUGAAAUAAAAUCAAGUAGAACUCAGCAAAUCACAAGAGCCCAAUCAAUACAAUAGAUAAUUGAACAACUCCAGCUGUUGGCUGUGUUUUUGUCUGCAAGAAAAUUGUCUGCAAGAAAACUGGAUAAAAUUGUAAAAUAAUAAAUGAAAAUAUGGGCAUUUUUGUCUGCAAGAAAUCUAUUCUGCUGGCUGCGUUUAAGCUGGAGGUUUUACCUCCAGCUGGAAAUGAGGCUGCCAGUGAGAUUGAAUUCUUCAGCUGCACCUCACCGUUGUUUCUCCAAACGUCAUCACAGUGCAGGGAAAAAGAAUAUUCCCUCAAAAUCCCAUCUCACCAUGGCUGCGUUGGCAUCCAAAGGAAGC